This 1280-nucleotide ribosomal RNA is filed under the name Salmonella enterica. RNAcentral's name for it is "partial 23S ribosomal RNA". It matches the Rfam family "Bacterial large subunit ribosomal RNA", at positions 711 to 1887 of the family's 2925-position model. The record is from RNAcentral. Lineage: Bacteria; Pseudomonadati; Pseudomonadota; Gammaproteobacteria; Enterobacterales; Enterobacteriaceae.
AGACCCGAAACCCGGUGAUCUAGCCAUGGGCAGGUUGAAGGUUGGGUAACACUAACUGGAGGACCGAACCGACUAAUGUUGAAAAAUUAGCGGAUGACCUGUGGCUGGGGGUGAAAGGCCAAUCAAACCGGGAGAUAGCUGGUUCUCCCCGAAAGCUAUUUAGGUAGCGCCUCGUGAAUUCAUCUCCGGGGGUAGAGCACUGUUUCGGCUAGGGGGCCAUCCCGGCUUACCAACCCGAUGCAAACUGCGAAUACCGGAGAAUGUUAUCACGGGAGACACACGGCGGGUGCUAACGUCCGUCGUGAAGAGGGAAACAACCCAGACCGCCAGCUAAGGUCCCAAAGUCAUGGUUAAGUGGGAAACGAUGUGGGAAGGCCCAGACAGCCAGGAUGUUGGCUUAGAAGCAGCCAUCAUUUAAAGAAAGCGUAAUAGCUCACUGGUCGAGUCGGCCUGCGCGGAAGAUGUAACGGGGCUAAACCAUGCACCGAAGCUGCGGCAGCGAACGUAUCACCCAAGACAACUUUACGGAGUUGACGAUUGACGGAGCGAAGCGACGUCAAAGCGUUCAUUAAAGUCGAGUUGGCUUAGGGAUACGUUCGUUGGGUAGGGGAGCGUUCUGUAAGCCUGUGAAGGUGUGUCGUGAGGCAUGCUGGAGGUAUCAGAAGUGCGAAUGCUGACAUAAGUAACGAUAAAGCGGGUGAAAAGCCCGCUCGCCGGAAGACCAAGGGUUCCUGUCCAACGUUAAUCGGGGCAGGGUGAGUCGACCCCUAAGGCGAGGCCGAAAGGCGUAGUCGAUGGGAAACGGGUUAAUAUUCCCGUACUUGGUGUUACUGCGAAGGGGGGACGGAGAAGGCUAUGUUGGCCGGGCGACGGUUGUCCCGGUUUAAGCGUGUAGGUGUGUGUUCCAGGUAAAUCCGGUUCACUUUAACACUGAGGCGUGACGACGAGGCACUACGGUGCUGAAGCAACAAAUGCCCUGCUUCCAGGAAAAGCCUCUAAGCAUCAGGUAACAUCAAAUCGUACCCCAAACCGACACAGGUGGUCAGGUAGAGAAUACCAAGGCGCUUGAGAGAACUCGGGUGAAGGAACUAGGCAAAAUGGUGCCGUAACUUCGGGAGAAGGCACGCUGACACGUAGGUGAAGUGAUUUACUCAUGGAGCUGAAGUCAGUCGAAGAUACCAGCUGGCUGCAACUGUUUAUUAAAAACACAGCACUGUGCAAACACGAAAGUGGACGUAUACGGUGUGACGCCUGCCCGGUGCCGGAAGGUUAAUUGAUGG